This 72-nucleotide transfer RNA is filed under the name Toxocara canis (dog roundworm). It matches the Rfam family "tRNA". Rfam says of the family: Transfer RNA (tRNA) molecules are approximately 80 nucleotides in length. The record is from Rfam by way of RNAcentral. Lineage: Eukaryota; Metazoa; Nematoda; Chromadorea; Rhabditida; Toxocaridae.
GGGGCAGUAUUUCAGUGGUAGAGCUCCCGCUUCAUAUGCGGCAAGACCUGGGUUCGAUUCCUGGCUGAUUCU